GGUCAGGGGGAGUGUGCCAUCGAAUUACAGACCCAUCAUCAGGUCACUGUACAGAAGACGCAGGGCUGAGGAAGCGGUGUGCUCAGUGUGGAGGCAGGACUGGAGCUGGAGCUGGGGCUGUAGCUUGCAUGUUCUGUCUUGGGGUCCCCACCCUUUCCCAGGUCACUAUCUGUCUUUAAAAGCUUCAGGUUACAAUAAGGGAUCGCUUGGUUGGUGAGUUGUUUUUUCUUUUCUUUCUUUUUUUUUUUUUCUUUCUGGUCUGCUUUUCCUUUUGAUUUGAUCUUUUUUGAUCUUUUCCUACAAGGUCCCUAGUCCCUGCAGGGGGAGCCUGUGUGAAAUCUUAGCUCUUAGAAGAAAAUUAUGUGAACAGUAGUUCUUGCUGCUGACCACACAAAGGGAUCACCUGGGGAGCUUUUGAAAAGACAGGUCUCUGGGCCCCACACCAGGUUAAUUAAGGCAGACUUAUGGGGUGGCCACAGGCCUUGGAAGUUUCAAAGAUCUCCAGAGAUUCAAUUGUGCAGCCUGGGUUGAGCAGUAAUCCAUGAAAGGUUUCAAAAGAGGAAAGAAAGAAGCUAAGAAAAACAAGACCAGCUCUGAAGAGCUGACCUGGGCACAGAUUCCAAGGAUACUGAAUAGAGAAUACUAUCCUACACAGUAAGACACUGUUGUUGAUCCAUUCUACAUACAGAAAAUUAAAAUAGAAGUGCCCAGACAGAAGUCCAUUUAGCCUGAAGUCUCCAGAUGGUCUGAUGGAAGUGUUGGAACAUUUUGGGACCUGGAUAAAGCACCAAAGCCCCAGGACUAGUGAUGGAAGAUUACAGAGUGCCAGCUGGAGGAUCAUCCCAAACAAGGGCAUUCUCCAUCCAAAAGCUGCCUAACGGGAUGCAACUUCCCACCACUCACACUGUGUACCUGAAGGAACAUUGUUACCUGAUCUAUGUGGACAGCUAUAAGAACAAAGGAUUCUGGGACCAAGAGGUUUUCAAUAAUUAAAUAUGCCCCUCCCUUCAUUUCAGUUCAGUUCAGUUCAGUCGCUCAGUCGUGUCCGACUCUUUGUGACCCCAUGAAUCACAGCACGCCAGGCCUUCCUGUCCAUCACCAACACCCGGAGCUUGCUCAAACUCAUGUCCAUUGAGUCGGUGAUGCCAUCCAGCCAUCUCAUCCUCUGUCUUCCCCUUCUCCUCCUGCCCCCAAUCCCUCCCAGCAUCAGGGUCUUGUCCAAUGAGUCAACUCUUCACAUGAGAUGCCCCUCCCUUACCUUGCCUUUUAAAGAGUUCUGCCAAUUUCUGGGGAGUUCUGGGUUUUUGGACAUGAGCAACCAGUUCUCUCACUUGUCCCUGCAAUAAAUAUUUCUCUCUUCCAAA
Long non-coding RNA from Bubalus bubalis (water buffalo), 1364 nucleotides. RefSeq lists it as uncharacterized. Lineage: Eukaryota; Metazoa; Chordata; Mammalia; Artiodactyla; Bovidae. The transcript has 5 exons. The record is from RefSeq and is a predicted model, not a curated record.